UGAGUCUGGAAAUGAGCAGUGACUUGGG
This 28-nucleotide non-coding RNA is filed under the name Mus musculus (house mouse). Lineage: Eukaryota; Metazoa; Chordata; Mammalia; Rodentia; Muridae. The record is from RNAcentral.